Molecule: ribosomal RNA, 440 nt
Filed under: uncultured bacterium
Lineage: Bacteria
Description: partial 16S ribosomal RNA
Rfam family: Bacterial small subunit ribosomal RNA
Source: RNAcentral
CCUACGGGUGGCAGCAGUAGGGAAUAUUGGUCAAUGGCGGAAACUCUGAAGCAGCAACGCCGCGUGGAGGAUGAAGGCUCUCGGAGUGUUAACUCCUUUUUGUAGGGAAGAAAAUGACGGCACCUGUCGAAUAAGCACCGUCGAACUCCGUGCCGGCAGCCGUGGGAAUACGGAGGGUGCCAGCGUUACACGGAAUAACUGGUCGUUAAGGGGGUGUAUGCGGGAUAGUAAGUCAGAUGUGAAAUCCUAAGGUUUAACCAGAGAACUGCAUUUGAAACUGUUAUGCUAGAGUUUGGGAGAGGUAGGUGGAAUGCGUGGUGUAGCGGUGAAAUGCAUAGAGAUCAAGAAGAAUACUGAUUGCGAAGGCAGCCUACGAGGACGUAACUGACGCUGAUGCACGAAAGCGUGGGGAGCAAACAGGAUUAGAUACCCCAGUAGUC